AUGGCAGAAUGCUUCAAUAAGGUGCUCAAGGGUGUACGUGCAUUACCCGUGACGGCAAUAGUUCAAUACACAUUUGACAAGAUGAAUGCAUACUUUUUAAAGUACUCAAUGGAGACUAAUAAGCAGAUUGCUGGUGAGAACAAGGAUAAGCACAAGUACAAUUUCCCACCAAAGGUUGAAGAAUGGUUGGAAUUUCAAUCACGAAAGGCAGAUUCUGAAGAAGCUGUACUAUAUGACGACAACGAGUGGAAGUAUGAGGUGAAAGAGCCCGGAGGAACCACAAACGAUGGCCGCCAACACGGAGGCCGGGCUUUCAAGGUCUCCCUAACACGGUGUGAUUGCAGCUGCAUGAGGCCGUCUUUGCUUCAUCUCCCAUGCUCGCACUUGUUAAAUGCAUCCCGGGUUAGGAAUGUGGACGUCAAUCACCCUCUUACCGUGAGGGAGUCCGAGUUCUCAAUCAUGACGGUAAAGAAUACAUGGACUCCACGGUUCCAGCCAUACUUGGACCAAUCACAAUGGCCGGAGUAUCAUGGAGUUCAACUAUGGCCGGACCCG
This 555-nucleotide ribosomal RNA is filed under the name Triticum aestivum (bread wheat). Its description in RNAcentral is "partial small subunit ribosomal RNA". Lineage: Eukaryota; Viridiplantae; Streptophyta; Magnoliopsida; Poales; Poaceae. The record is from RNAcentral.